UGACAAUGAUGAGCUCUUUAUCCCGAAGCUGAUCACUAUUGAUGAGAAAAUCUUUUUCGGAUCUGACUGCUGAGUU
Molecule: small nucleolar RNA, 76 nt
Organism: Lampris incognitus (smalleye Pacific opah)
Lineage: Eukaryota; Metazoa; Chordata; Actinopteri; Lampriformes; Lampridae
Product: small nucleolar RNA SNORD50
Exons: 1
Source: RefSeq, a predicted model, not a curated record